ACUCCUGCGGGAGGCAGCAGUGGGGAAUAUUGCACAAUGGGCGCAAGCCUGAUGCAGCCAUGCCGCGUGUAUGAAGAAGGCCUUCGGGUUGUAAAGUACUUUCAGCGGGGAGGAAGGCAAUACGGUUAAUAACCGUGUUGAUUGACGUUACCCGCAGAAGAAGCACCGGCUAACUCCGUGCCAGCAGCCGCGGUAAUACGGAGGGUGCAAGCGUUAAUCGGAAUUACUGGGCGUAAAGCGCACGCAGGCGGUCUGUCAAGUCGGAUGUGAAAUCCCCGGGCUCAACCUGGGAACUGCAUUCGAAACUGGCAGGCUUGAGUCUUGUAGAGGGGGGUAGAAUUCCAGGUGUAGCGGUGAAAUGCGUAGAGAUCAGGAGGAAUACCGGUGGCGAAGGCGGCCCCCUGGACAAAGACUGACGCUCAGGUGCGAAAGCGUGGGGAGCAAACAGGAUUAGAUACCCUAGUAGUCCCAUGAU
This 475-nucleotide ribosomal RNA is filed under the name uncultured organism. Its description in RNAcentral is "partial 16S ribosomal RNA". It matches the Rfam family "Bacterial small subunit ribosomal RNA", at positions 335 to 801 of the family's 1533-position model. The record is from RNAcentral.